UUGUUUGAGCUUUGAAUAUAGGUUAAGCGAGGUUACAUUUGAAUGGAAUUUUUAAUUUGUGGAUUAUAUGUCCAUCAAUUGAAUUUUUUAAACAACUAAUUUGAAAACGUGCUUAAAUUGCCAAUAAUUAAUGAUCCAUAAGUGGUGUUUAUCUAUACAUAACAAUAGGGAACGUAAUGAGUCUCCUAUAUAAGGGGGUCGGGGUGUGUUUCUUUACAUAUAUAUAAAUUGUUUCUUGUGAUGAGAUAUCAAAAUGAGAAAAAGUUUAUUUGUGUUCAUGUUGCUCCUUGUCCUUUUUGUUACAGACAUUUUACUUUAUUCCUAAUUCCUAUUUUAUGCUUUUUGCUCGUAUGAGACUUUGAUGACUUGGACAGAAGCAGGGAGAGAACCAAGGAAAUGUCAAGAAGUAGACACGAAAUAUCCUUGUCAGGAUGAUUUUACAUGUAAUCAGGACUGCAUAGAUUUACCUGGUGAUAGGAAUGUAACCGGAAAAUGUGAGAUAAGGGAUAAGGUUAAGCGAUGUGUCUGUAACUAUAUUUGUUAAUCUUGAGCAUAUGCUCAGUGAAGUUACUUAUAAUACUAUUCUAUGUACAUGUACACCGGUCACAUGACUUAAUUUCGUGUAUGCCAGCUGUCAUUUCUGAUGGUUUAUUACUUAUUUAAUAUCAAUAAAAUUGUUUGUGGGUUUUA
Molecule: non-coding RNA, 690 nt
Organism: Lactuca sativa (garden lettuce)
Lineage: Eukaryota; Viridiplantae; Streptophyta; Magnoliopsida; Asterales; Asteraceae
Source: RefSeq, a predicted model, not a curated record